Molecule: long non-coding RNA, 668 nt
Organism: Uranotaenia lowii
Lineage: Eukaryota; Metazoa; Arthropoda; Insecta; Diptera; Culicidae
Exons: 4
Source: RefSeq, a predicted model, not a curated record
AAAACAAAGGGAAAAAAAGAAGAAGUUUUGCGCAGUUUGUGUUUUGAAAUGGAAAAAUGCGAAUCGUUGUGCGUUGUUUUUAGUUUUUCUUGUGGAAUUGCAAACAUGGAAUUGGCUUCAGAUUACACAAUUAUCAAUGUGCAUCUGGAAGGAAUAUUCUGAGGCAGAAAGUGUCGAAAAAGAAAACGGUAAAGUGCAAGAUGAGGGCGCGAAAGAGGAGGAAGAGGAAACGAAGGAUGAGAGAAGCCGUAAUGGAAUGUUGCAAGUGGAAAAUGUCAUAAUACCGCGAUAACAGAAUCGCUCAACAAUAUUGUCAUGGACCACUGCCAAGCUAAUGACGGACAAAUACCAACAACCUCGUAAAAAUGUCUGUUCAACAACCAACUGUAAUGGCAUUUUCCAAAGCCGCUUAUUAGGGGGAGGCCUUCAGCGAGAGCGACAAGAUUCCGGAGAAUGCGAGCUUUGAAAUAAAAGUAUAAAUUUCUUCGGUAUUCAUGGAACGCCAUCUGUCAUCAUGUUUCGGAAAACAUCAGCUGGAGGUGGAAAACAAUGCACCCUUUGAACGGUUGUCUUCACUGAACUGCUGUAGAUCAAGCCAAUGUCUCGUAACUACUCCCCACGCAAGCUGGUGUUAAAAAUUGUACAUUGAGUAAAGAGUCAAAAUAAAU